CGCACUCAACUCGAGCACGACUACCCUUGGAAUUUAAGCAUAUAAUUACGGGGAGGAAAAGAAACUAACAAGGAUUCGCUUAGUAACUGCGAGUGAAGAGCGAAAAGCCCAUCCUGAAUCCGAGAUCACUAACCUGGUCGAGGAGUUGUAGGGUAUGAUUGAUCCUUUGGUUGUGACGUGAGGCCCGAAGUUCGUUGGAAAGCGAUCCCACAGAAGGUGAAAGGCCUGUAGAGCUGACCGUUGCGCCGUUAUAGGGGUUAUAUCAUGAGUCGUACUAUUUGAGAGUAUAGUACUAAGCGGUGAUAUGCAUCAUCGAAGGCUAAAUAUUGAUCCGAAACCGAUAGCAAACAAGUAGCGUGAGCGAAAUUUGAAAAGAACUUUGGAAAGAGAGUUAAAAGUACCUGAAACCGCUAAGUCGAAAGGGUUGAGCCGAGCUGAAUUGUGCUGGUAGGAUUCAGUCUCGUAAUAGUGGCAAAAUUUAUGAGGUAAUGGUCACUCAGUGGCUAUGCCAAGUGGAUGGCGUUGCGAGGCGAGCUGCACUUCCUGAUCAGCUGUGCAUUGCCAUUUUGUUUUCAGUCAGAAGUGGGGCUCUCGGUAGCCACUUCGGUGGUGAAGGAGU
RNAcentral lists this non-coding RNA (619 nucleotides) under Corchorus olitorius. RNAcentral describes it as "Eukaryotic large subunit ribosomal RNA". It matches the Rfam family "Eukaryotic large subunit ribosomal RNA", at positions 1 to 625 of the family's 3401-position model. Lineage: Eukaryota; Viridiplantae; Streptophyta; Magnoliopsida; Malvales; Malvaceae. The record is from Rfam by way of RNAcentral.